This 231-nucleotide unclassified non-coding RNA is filed under the name plant metagenome. RNAcentral describes it as "partial contains small subunit ribosomal RNA, internal transcribed spacer 1, and 5.8S ribosomal RNA". The stretch from base 183 to 231 matches the Rfam family "5.8S ribosomal RNA", at positions 1 to 49 of the family's 154-position model. The record is from RNAcentral.
UUUCCGUAGGUGAACCUGCGGAAGGAUCAUUCAUAAUAAAGUGUUUUAUGGCACUUUUUAAAAAUCCAUAUCCACCUUGUGUGCAAUGUUAGAUCUCGUCAAUCUUGGCGAGAUUUUUAUACAUCAACUCAUUUUUUAACUAAUUUGUCUGAAAAAUAUUAUGAAUACUUAAUUCAAAAUACAACUUUCAACAACGGAUCUCUUGGCUCUCACAUCGAUGAAGAACGCAGC